CUGGACGUCCUUCCCCAGCAGCCAGUUGAGCUCCAGGUUGCCCUCGCCCUGGUAGCAGGACUGCAGGCGGUACUUGAUCUACUCUGUGCUUUUACGUGAAGCUGAGUGGCUGCACCUUGCCCCAGAGGGAGAGAGAAGGAAGGUAAGGGGAGGCAGAAGAAAACGGGCUGCCUCUGUGCCCCCUUGGCACCCUUCUCCUGAGAAGGGGAGCCAGAUGAGACUGUGGACCCCCGGCACAUGUCAACACAACUCUUGGUGACCAUUUCUAUCCCGUUGCCUUUUUUCACUGUGAGAAGAGAGAUCCCCUGCUUAUCUCUACACGCAAUCCCUUUUACAAAACCUGUUUUCUCAGCUAUAAAAGGAUGCCUCGCAGGGUUGAGGUGAGAAGCAACAAGACAAUGGUUGUGAAAUGUUUCUGUAAACUCUACAGCUCGGAAUAAACACCGAUUACUCGAGUUUCUGUUUUCUGGAGAAACAGUGUACAAGGGCAUCAUCUCCUUGGCAGUCACAGCUGCCCUGUGUGAUGGCAACAAAGGCUGAGCCAGUUUCACCCAGGUGAGGGGUGAUUCUGUGUCACCACGUUCCCCAACUCCCAGCUCCUAAGAGAGGCCGAGAAGGCACUGGGUGCAGCUGGUCCCCAGUAGCCUCUUUCCCUAGUCCCUUUGGCCCCACACUGCCCAGAUUACCACCCAACAACUCUCAUAGCCUUGAGGGUGAUUGAAUGGUCACUUGUUCUGCUCUUGGUGGGUUCAUCCAGGAACCCUUGGCAGGAAAGAAGGAGAGGAAAGCCUUCCCGUGGGAGGAGGAGGAGAUGCUGAAAAGUUUCAUAGGCUAGAGAUCCAUAUCCCUUGGUCUGUAUUCAUACUGGUCUGGCCAUUGAGUUGGAAGAAAUUCCUCUCCUUUAUCCGUCCCUGCUUCUCCUUCUCUCCUGUGCUUUCCUGAACUGACAGCCGAGACUCUGAAUAAAAAGCUGUAACUCCCUUUUUAUGAGGAAGCUUUUUAAGCAGGCUGCGUCCCUACCCUGUGCCUUCCCACCUUCAGUUUCUAUUAUUUGUCUCUCUUUGUCUGAAACUUUGAGCUCCUGCAGAAAGAUCCUCAGCUGUCAGGCAGCCUCUCUUAAGUAACAGGCGAGCUCAUAGUCACACACUCUAGCUAGCAGGGGAAGCGCUGGGGAGCUGGAUAAAAGGGACAUGUGCAGACUGGGAAGUGGUAGGCAUUCCGGGCAGAGGGGCGGAAGUCUGUCCACGUAAGGGACUUGUCUGUGCCAAGAUGCACGCACACUCCACUCAACUGGGGGACACUUAACACCUGGGUGGCAUCGGCCCCUGGGUGAGCGUGCAGAGAAGAGACUUUUGAGACCCUUGAGGCCCUAUCAACCAGAUGUCGAGGACCCCAGCCCCACUGCGGAGGGAAAGUGAAGGGAGCAAUUAUCUGAGGCUGACGCAGGGAGAAGAAUGUGCUGGAGGGAGAGCAGGGGGAAGGCAGGCAGGCAGGCCAGUGCAGCACGGAGACCUGGGGCAGAGAGAUGAAAAGAGCUUCCUGAGUGAGAAUCUGGCCCUGUGAUGAAUGGGGUGUGAGAGAAGAGUCUGGAAAGGGGUAAACAGCCAGGAGGGACGCAGGAGGGAGGGGGGCUGAGGAGAAAGAAUGCUGAGGUCAAAGAGCAAAGCAUGCUCCUGGAAUGAUUGAAUCAAGAUCCAGCAUGCUGCACACAUGGAUGGGACGGGAUGGGUGCUCAUGUGCACCCAGACAUGUGGCCCGGUCUCCUCCCCUCCCCCUGCCAAGGUGUGAGCGAGUUAGCUUUGCUCCCAGACCCAUUCCAUGCCCCCUGCAAAACUUCUCCUGUGAUGGUUUGUUCUGAGGUCCCAAGGGACCCCACUGUAAUAUAAAGUAGUAUGUGUGCCGUGACUAAGUUUUACUGUUCACUAAGAAUUUCGUGUCUGUUACCUCAUUAAUGUACCCCUCACGCAAGCCUGUGAGGGACAGAUUAGCAUCAGCAUCGCCAUUUCACAGGUGGGAAGACUUGCAUGUAUUGGAGGUGAAGUAUUUUGUCCAAGGUCCCACAUGGGGAACUAGACUUGGAUAUAGGCUCCUGGAGUCAAACACGUCACCCUACUUCUCUGUGGCCUGGGUCUGUAGGUGCCACCACUUGGUAUGCCCAAGGAGAGAUCACUUACUCCAGCGGUUCCUCCCUGCCUCCAGGAGGCAACGCUGCCCACACUCAGGGAUAUACCAUUACCACUCUUUGGGAACGGGGCAGGGUAUUAGGAGCUCAACUCAGAGUUGAGUCCUUGGGGAUCCCUGUGAAAGAGGAAAAGGCCUGGUGCUGGAAGCUUGUGGCCAGCCACCAACUGCCAUUUGGCUCCCAUCCAGACCUGGCUGGUGGGAAGGAGGGCUGGGGAAGGCUGGGGAAGGGCUGAGGGCUGGAGCUGGCCCCCGCGUGGCCCUGGUGGUGGCAGAUGGAAAGAGUCCAGAAGCAGGACUUUGUAGGCAGAGAGGCUGGGGUGCCGAAGUCCCCUCCCUAACUAACCUGCUGUUUUCUGUGGGGUAGAGAACUAGCUGCCCACUGCUCCUCUGAAGACCAUUUCCACAGCCCCUGCGGCUGAUCCCAGAGCACAGGCAGCUCCUACUGCCGUCUUUCUCUCCCCCACUCACAUUCUCCCAGCUACCCUGGCCCUGCUGCUCUUCAAUUUCCAACCCUGGCAGAUCACUGAUUAAUUCAAGGCUGUUUAAUAACCCUUCUAUUUCGAUGAAACAAGCUGUCUUGUUUUCUUUAUUUUUAACACCGACUUUCGACUUUCGUUUCUUUGCUAAGCAUCUUACUGUCAUUUAAAUUUCUCUGUCUCCAACCAAGCUGAUAAUAGACUGGAGUGAGCAGCUGCUUCCAUCCCGUUUAUGACAAUGAUUAGAAGUUAGAGCUGUGCAGAGGGCUGACCAAGUCCCGGUUCAGAGGGGUCUGCCCCUGCUUGUAGAGGGAGGGCUCGUUUUAACUCGAUUAGGAGCAUUCCGGCUCCAGGGGAGACCAGGGCUUACUCUAGCCUAACCUUCCUGGCACCCUGCUCCCAGGGGAGUGGUGAGGGUGAAGGUGUGAGAGCAGCUCUAUUUACCGUGGAAUUAAGGCCAGCAGCCGAGAACCUGACACUCUCAACUUCCCUUCUCAACUUUUUCUGCCUUGAAUUUCCUGAGUAGCAAACAGGGAGACUCGAGGUUAGAAGAUCCGGAGGUGGGUGGUGAUCUCAGCCGUCAGCUGUAUACCUUUCUGUGCCACAAAGGAAUCCCUUCUUGAGACCCUGUCGACAGCUUCCAACCAACCUCUGCCUGAAUUCUCCAGAUGACUGUGGAUGGAGCGCGUUCCCUUCCCCGAUGGCCCUUUCUAGGGCUGGGUGGCUCUGGUUAAUUUCUCUUCUGUCCUGGGUACUUCUACUUGACCUGUGUGACAAUUAUUUGUGUGCAGACCCUUCCUUCCUUGGCACACUGUAAGCUCCUCAAGAUCCAGCAUAGUGACUUGCCUCCCUCCCUUAAUACUUGGUGCAUAGUAAAUAUUCUAUAAAUAUUUGUUCAAUCACAUAAGACAACAUUCAAAAAUCUCCUUGUAAGCACUGUGUCCUUCUUCUACCUGGGCAGGCUCCUGGGGAAGCUUCCCAUGUUCCUCUGUCUGGACUAGUGUUCUGCCUCUUCCUGCCCUCGGGCAAGAAAUGGCU
Long non-coding RNA from Phyllostomus discolor (pale spear-nosed bat), 3698 nucleotides. RefSeq lists it as uncharacterized. Lineage: Eukaryota; Metazoa; Chordata; Mammalia; Chiroptera; Phyllostomidae. The transcript is spliced from 3 exons. The record is from RefSeq and is a predicted model, not a curated record.